AGAGUUUGAUCAUGGCUCAGAACAAACGCUGGCGGCGUGCUUAACACAUGCGAGUCGUACGAGAAAGUCCGCUUCGGCGGAUGAGUAAAGUGGCGCACGGGUGCGUAACACGUGGGUAAUCUGCCCUUCAGUGGGGAAUAACUCGCCGAAAGGCGGGCUAAUACCGCAUAAUACCGUUUCCACCCCGGUGGGACGGUCAAAGACAGCCUCUGUUUACAAGCUGUCGCUGAAGGAUGAGCCCGCGGCCUAUCAGCUAGUUGGUGGGGUAAUGGCUCACCAAGGCUGUGACGGGUAGCUGGUCUGAGAGGAUGGCCAGCCACACUGGAACUGAGACACGGUCCAGACUCCUACGGGAGGCAGCAGUGGGGAAUCUUGGGCAAUGGGGGCAACCCUGACCCAGCGACGCCGCGUGAGUGAGGAAGGUCUUCGGAUCGUAAAGCUCUGUCGGAUGGGAAGAAAUGUGUGGAAGUGAACAGCUUCCAUGCUUGACGGUACCAUCAGAGGAAGCACCGGCUAACUCCGUGCCAGCAGCCGCGGUAAUACGGGGGGUGCAAGCGUUGUUCGGAAUCAUUGGGCGUAAAGGGCGUGUAGGCGGCUGGAUAAGUCAGAUGUGAAAUCCCUGGGCUUAACCCAGGAAGUGCAUUUGAAACUGUCCGGCUUGAGUGAGGGAGAGGAGAGUGGAAUUCCUGGUGUAGAGGUGAAAUUCGUAGAUAUCAGGAGGAACACCGGUGGCGAAGGCGACUUUCUGGCCCUAUACUGACGCUGAGACGCGAAAGCGUGGGGAGCAAACAGGAUUAGAUACCCUGGUAGUCCACGCUGUAAACGAUGUUCACUAGGUGUUGGGGGUAUUGACCCCCUCAGUGCCGUAGCUAACGCUUUAAGUGAACCGCCUGGGGAGUACGGUCGCAAGACUAAAACUCAAAUGAAUUGACGG
RNAcentral lists this ribosomal RNA (934 nucleotides) under Syntrophaceae bacterium enrichment culture clone L35B_53. RNAcentral describes it as "bacterial SSU rRNA". It matches the Rfam family "Bacterial small subunit ribosomal RNA", at positions 8 to 916 of the family's 1533-position model. The record is from RNAcentral. Lineage: Bacteria; Pseudomonadati; Thermodesulfobacteriota; Syntrophia; Syntrophales; Syntrophaceae.